UCCGGUGGCCACACCACCCUGAACCUGCCUGGUCUCCUCUGACCUCGGAAGCUAAGCAGGGUCAGGACUGGUUGGUACUUGGAGCAGAGAGGGUAGGGCAGGAGAGAUACCUCCAGUU
Molecule: ribosomal RNA, 118 nt
Organism: Erinaceus europaeus (western European hedgehog)
Lineage: Eukaryota; Metazoa; Chordata; Mammalia; Eulipotyphla; Erinaceidae
Source: Ensembl